This 666-nucleotide long non-coding RNA is filed under the name Homo sapiens (human). RNAcentral describes it as "HSALNT0136101". The record is from RNAcentral. Lineage: Eukaryota; Metazoa; Chordata; Mammalia; Primates; Hominidae.
AGGCGCGGCUGGGGGUGCGAGGCUGCGCAGGCGCGGACGGCGUUGGUUUGAAGACCUUCAGCGUUGCCCUGGCGGAGCAGAGACAGGCCCUCGGGGUGGAGGUCUUUGGUUUCAUAAGAGCCUGAGAGAGAUUUUUCUAAGGAGUCAAAUUGACUUUAUCAGCUUUAAUCGAUGGGAAGAACUUCAGUGCAGGAGGUCACAAGGUUGGCUUGGGAUUUGAACUGGAAGCUUAAUGUGGUUUGAGGAAAGCAUCAGAUUUGUCCCUGGAAGUGAAGAGAAAUGAACCCACUAUGUUUUGGCCUUAAAAUUCUUCUGUGAAAUUUCAAAAGUGUGAACUUUUUAUUCUUCCAAAGAAUUGUAAUCCUCCCCACACUGAAGUCUAGGGGUUGCGAAUCCCUCCUGAGGGAGAUGCUUGAAGGCAUGCCUGGAAGUUGUCAUGUUUGUGCCACGUUUCAGUUCAGUUCUGAAGUGUUAUUAAAUGUGUUCCUCAGCGACAGUGUAGCGUCAUGUUAGAGGAGACGAUCUGACCCACCAGUUUGUACAUCACGUCCUGCAUGUCCCACACCAUUUUUUCAUGACCUUGUAAUAUACUGGUCUCUGUGCUAUAGUGGAAUCUUUGGUUUUGCAUCAUAGUAAAAUAAAAUAAACCCAUCACAUUUGGAACAU